This 3028-nucleotide ribosomal RNA is filed under the name Salmonella enterica subsp. enterica serovar Senftenberg. RNAcentral's name for it is "23S ribosomal RNA". It matches the Rfam family "Bacterial large subunit ribosomal RNA". Lineage: Bacteria; Pseudomonadati; Pseudomonadota; Gammaproteobacteria; Enterobacterales; Enterobacteriaceae. The record is from RNAcentral.
GGGUUGUGAGGUUAAGCGACUAAGCGUACACGGUGGAUGCCCUGGCAGUCAGAGGCGAUGAAGGGCGUGCUAAUCUGCGAUAAGCGCCGGUAAGGUGAUAUGAACCGUUAUAACCGGCGAUACCCGAAUGGGGAAACCCAGUGUGACUCGUCACACUAUCAUUAACUGAAUCCAUAGGUUAAUGAGGCGAACCGGGGGAACUGAAACAUCUAAGUACCCCGAGGAAAAGAAAUCAACCGAGAUUCCCCCAGUAGCGGCGAGCGAACGGGGAGGAGCCCAGAGCCUGAAUCAGCAUGUGUGUUAGUGGAAGCGUCUGGAAAGGCGCGCGAUACAGGGUGACAGCCCCGUACACAAAAGCGCAUGUGCUGUGAGCUCGAUGAGUAGGGCGGGACACGUGGUAUCCUGUCUGAAUAUGGGGGGACCAUCCUCCAAGGCUAAAUACUCCUGACUGACCGAUAGUGAACCAGUACCGUGAGGGAAAGGCGAAAAGAACCCCGGCGAGGGGAGUGAAAAAGAACCUGAAACCGUGUACGUACAAGCAGUGGGAGCCCCACCACUAAGCCAGUGGUGAACUCCACAUACGCAUCCUUUGCUGAGGAUACGGUUAACGGAGCGAAAGCGACGUUCAACCUCAAAAGAAGCAGAGGGGGCUUAGUGGUGGGGUGACUGCGUACCUUUUGUAUAAUGGGUCAGCGACUUAUAUUCUGUAGCAAGGUUAACCGAAUAGGGGAGCCGGAGGGAAACCGAGUCUUAAUUGGGCGUUAAGUUGCAGGGUAUAGACCCGAAACCCGGUGAUCUAGCCAUGGGCAGGUUGAAGGUUGGGUAACACUAACUGGAGGACCGAACCGACUAAUGUUGAAAAAUUAGCGGAUGACCUGUGGCUGGGGGUGAAAGGCCAAUCAAACCGGGAGAUAGCUGGUUCUCCCCGAAAGCUAUUUAGGUAGCGCCUCGUGAAUUCAUCUCCGGGGGUAGAGCACUGUUUCGGCUAGGGGGCCAUCCCGGCUUACCAACCCGAUGCAAACUGCGAAUACCGGAGAAUGUUAUCACGGGAGACACACGGCGGGUGCUAACGUCCGUCGUGAAGAGGGAAACAACCCAGACCGCCAGCUAAGGUCCCAAAGUCAUGGUUAAGUGGGAAACGAUGUGGGAAGGCCCAGACAGCCAGGAUGUUGGCUUAGAAGCAGCCAUCAUUUAAAGAAAGCGUAAUAGCUCACUGGUCGAGUCGGCCUGCGCGGAAGAUGUAACGGGGCUAAACCAUGCACCGAAGCUGCGGCAGCGACGCUGAUGCGUUGUUGGGUAGGGGAGCGUUCUGUAAGCCUGCGAAGGUGGCCUGUGAGGGUUGCUGGAGGUAUCAGAAGUGCGAAUGCUGACAUAAGUAACGAUAAAGCGGGUGAAAAGCCCGCUCGCCGGAAGACCAAGGGUUCCUGUCCAACGUUAAUCGGGGCAGGGUGAGUCGACCCCUAAGGCGAGGCCGAAAGGCGUAGUCGAUGGGAAACGGGUUAAUAUUCCCGUACUUGGUGUUACUGCGAAGGGGGGACGGAGAAGGCUAUGUUGGCCGGGCGACGGUUGUCCCGGUUUAAGCGUGUAGGUGUGUGUUCCAGGUAAAUCCGGUUCACUUUAACACUGAGGCGUGAUGACGAGGCACUACGGUGCUGAAGCAACAAAUGCCCUGCUUCCAGGAAAAGCCUCUAAGCAUCAGGUAACAUCAAAUCGUACCCCAAACCGACACAGGUGGUCAGGUAGAGAAUACCAAGGCGCUUGAGAGAACUCGGGUGAAGGAACUAGGCAAAAUGGUGCCGUAACUUCGGGAGAAGGCACGCUGACACGUAGGUGAAGUGAUUUACUCAUGGAGCUGAAGUCAGUCGAAGAUACCAGCUGGCUGCAACUGUUUAUUAAAAACACAGCACUGUGCAAACACGAAAGUGGACGUAUACGGUGUGACGCCUGCCCGGUGCCGGAAGGUUAAUUGAUGGGGUCAGCGCAAGCGAAGCUCCUGAUCGAAGCCCCGGUAAACGGCGGCCGUAACUAUAACGGUCCUAAGGUAGCGAAAUUCCUUGUCGGGUAAGUUCCGACCUGCACGAAUGGCGUAAUGAUGGCCAGGCUGUCUCCACCCGAGACUCAGUGAAAUUGAACUCGCUGUGAAGAUGCAGUGUACCCGCGGCAAGACGGAAAGACCCCGUGAACCUUUACUAUAGCUUGACACUGAACAUUGAGCCUUGAUGUGUAGGAUAGGUGGGAGGCUUUGAAGUGUGGACGCCAGUCUGCAUGGAGCCGACCUUGAAAUACCACCCUUUAAUGUUUGAUGUUCUAACGUGGACCCGUUACCCGGGUUGCGGACAGUGUCUGGUGGGUAGUUUGACUGGGGCGGUCUCCUCCUAAAGAGUAACGGAGGAGCACGAAGGUUGGCUAAUCCUGGUCGGACAUCAGGAGGUUAGUGCAAUGGCAUAAGCCAGCUUGACUGCGAGCGUGACGGCGCGAGCAGGUGCGAAAGCAGGUCAUAGUGAUCCGGUGGUUCUGAAUGGAAGGGCCAUCGCUCAACGGAUAAAAGGUACUCCGGGGAUAACAGGCUGAUACCGCCCAAGAGUUCAUAUCGACGGCGGUGUUUGGCACCUCGAUGUCGGCUCAUCACAUCCUGGGGCUGAAGUAGGUCCCAAGGGUAUGGCUGUUCGCCAUUUAAAGUGGUACGCGAGCUGGGUUUAGAACGUCGUGAGACAGUUCGGUCCCUAUCUGCCGUGGGCGCUGGAGAACUGAGGGGGGCUGCUCCUAGUACGAGAGGACCGGAGUGGACGCAUCACUGGUGUUCGGGUUGUCAUGCCAAUGGCACUGCCCGGUAGCUAAAUGCGGAAGAGAUAAGUGCUGAAAGCAUCUAAGCACGAAACUUGCCCCGAGAUGAGUUCUCCCUGAGACUUUAAGUCUCCUGAAGGAACGUUGAAGACGACGACGUUGAUAGGCCGGGUGUGUAAGCGCAGCGAUGCGUUGAGCUAACCGGUACUAAUGAACCGUGAGGCUUAACCUUACAACGCCGAAG